CCUACGGGGCGCAGCAGUCGAGAAUCAUUCACAAUGGGGGAAACCCUGAUGGUGCGACGCCGCGUGGGGGAAUGAAGGUCUUCGGAUUGUAAACCCCUGUCAUGUGGGAGCAAAUUAAAAAGAUAGUACCACAAGAGGAAGAGACGGCUAACUCUGUGCCAGCAGCCGGGGUAAUACAGAGGUCUCAAGCGUUGUUAGGAAUCACUGGGCGUAAAGCGUGCGUAGGCUGUUUCGUAAGUCGUGUGUGAAAGGCGCGGGCUCAACCCGCGGACGGUACAUGAUACUGCGAGACUAGAGUAGUGGAGGGGGAACCGGAGUUCUCGGUGUAGCAGUAAAAUGAGUAGAUAUCGAG
This 352-nucleotide ribosomal RNA is filed under the name uncultured bacterium. RNAcentral describes it as "partial 16S ribosomal RNA". It matches the Rfam family "Bacterial small subunit ribosomal RNA", at positions 338 to 701 of the family's 1533-position model. The record is from RNAcentral.